UCUACUCUUUCGUGGGGGAUAACGUAGGGAAACUUACGCUAAUACCGCAUACGACCUACGGGGAAAGCAGGGGACCUUUUAGGCCUUGCGCGAUUGAAUGAGCCGAUGUCCGAUUAGCUAGUUGGCGGGGUAAUGGCCCACCAAGGCGACGAUCGGUAGCUGGUCUGAGAGGAUGAUCAGCCACACUGGAACUGAGACACGGUCCAGACUCCCACGGGAGGCAGCAGUGGGGAAUAUUGGACAAUGGGCGCAAGCCUGAUCCAGCCAUACCGCGUGGGUGAAGAAGGCCUUCGGGUUGUAAAGCCCUUUUGUUGGGAAAGAAAAGCAGCCGGCUAAUACCCGGUUGUUCUGACGGUACCCAAAGAAUAAGCACCGGCUAACUUCGUGCCAGCAGCCGCGGUAAUACGAAGGGUGCAAGCGUUACUCGGAAUUACUGGGCGUAAAGCGUGCGUAGGUGGUUGUUUAAGUCUGUCGUGAAAGCCCUGGGCUCAACCUGGGAACUGCGAUGGAAACUGGGCGACUAGAGUGUGGUAGAGGGUAGCGGAAUUCCUGGUGUAGCAGUGAAAUGCGUAGAUAUCAGGAGGAACAUCCAUGGCGAAGGCAGCUACCUG
Molecule: ribosomal RNA, 611 nt
Filed under: uncultured bacterium
Lineage: Bacteria
Description: bacterial SSU rRNA
Rfam family: Bacterial small subunit ribosomal RNA
Source: RNAcentral